CUGGAUAGUUCUUCUGGCAUUUGUCAACCUAAAUAAAGAGCAGGGCGAAGAGAGACCAGCACGUGGAGCACCAACAGCUAGAAACAACCACCGAGACGCAGGAACCUCCCAGGUUCCUAGAGUAGCCCUGGAAAUGACGCUGGGGGAGGUAAACCCCUGUCCGUUCGUGCGACCCCAGAGGCUAUAGUGUUCGCGGUCUUGUUUUUCUGGAAGUGGGCCUCCGCGAUCUCGGGAACCAACACCCCGAAUCCGGCGCCCAAGCAGGGAGGCCAGCUGCUUUAGGCGGCUCCAGAAAGGCCAGGCUUCGGAGCCUCUAACCUGAUGAAGGUGGGACUUCGGCAAAGUCGAGAAACCUAAGUCUGGGAAGAGUUGGUAUACCCAUGGCCCACGUUCUUGCUCAGAAGAAGCAGACUGCAAAAUUCUGGAGGUGACAAAGGGAAGAUGAAGGCACAUAAACACCUGCUCCUCCCCUCCAGACCCCAAAGCAAUUUCGGCGAGUUUUGGAAGGGAAUGAAGGUGACAACUGUGCUAGGACUCAUCUGGCCUGGGAGCAGAUGGCGCAGGCCUGGAUGUCGCUACCGGAGAAGGUCCAUCGGGAAGCAGCCUGGCCUCGCGGGCGGUGGACAAUGUGGAGGAGAGAGAAUUUCCAGGCAGCAGGAUUAUAAACAAAUUCACGCUGAGAAAUAGCCUGGUGACCUUAGCUAAAGUACAUAGUAAGAGCAGACGAGAUUCCUGGAGGAGCAGCAGCUAUUAUGCAUCAUAAUGAUGAAAGCCACAGAAUAAAGAGCAAGAAGGUAGAAGGAGCCUGAGAACUUCAUGACAUUCUUGGACAGUGGUGCCAACCUUGGAUGAUUUACCUCAGGAUUUUUGGUUAAAUAACAUAUAUUAACUCCUUUCUGUUUAACCCACUGGAGUUGAAUUUUCUGUUGCAGUGAGUACCAUCCUAACUGAUUAUCCUGGCUAAUAUGUAUUAGCACCUAUCAUGGGCCAGUGUAGUUCUAAGCACUUUAUGUACUAACUUUUUAAAUCCUCACAACGACCUUAUGAGAUAGGCCUAAGGUUCUCAAAGUGAGCCAGCAGCAUUAGCAUCACCUGGAACUUUGUUAGGAAUACAGAUUUAGGGUCCGGCUCCACACCUCCUGAAUCAGAAACUCUGGGAGUGGGGGCCCAGUAAUCUGUUUUAAGAAACCCUGCAGGCGAUUCUGAUACAUGCUAAAGUUUGACAGCUUUAUCUGUAGGUGAGGUAUUGUUGCUAUCCCUAUUUUACAUGUAAGGUAGACUGAGCUGAGUCUUGAGUCGCUUGCCCAAUGUUACACAACUAGUAAGACUAACUCCUAAAGCUGUCUGUAAAGUCAUGCCACAUGUUAAGAACGCCUACUCUAGAGCAGCAGUCUUCAAAAUUUGAAAGCGUACUCCUUUGAAAAAUUAUGUACCCCCUUGCACAUUUUUAGAUCGAUAUCUAAAAAUUUCACAUAAGUUCAAACAGUUGUAAAGAAUUAUUUCCAGUACAUUGUAAAUUGUGACAUUUUAAAAUGUGUUCAUCACUCUUCUAAAUGAAUCUAAAUACCAUAGUGAUUAUUUUGUAAAUGGACCGUCCAUUUAAAAAAGUAAAUUUUCUUUAACAUUUGAAAUUUUAUGUCCUUCUCUUGAACUCGUAUUUUCAUUCCCCUACCAACAAAAAUACAUCCUAUUGUAACACGCCUGUUUUGAUCUACCCUGUUGUUCUUCUCUGCAGCAAAAAGUACGAACAUUGAACUUAAUUUUUAAAAAAUUUCCAGUGAUCAUAUAGCUUUAAGAGUUAUAAGUAUACAAUCAAAUAAUUGUGACUGUAUUAUAUAUUUUGAUAAGUUAGUAGACAUACAAACUAAAAUCGAAUUGGAAAUCCAUCUCUUAAUGAGAUGGAUGGGACUUAAGAUUUUCCAAUUGAUUCAUGUAUCCAUGGAUGAAUGUUCCUUGUUGCAAGAAUGAGACAAGUUCAACAUCAAUUUUAUGUCUGUUUUUCAUUAUAGAUAUGAGAGAUUAUAUUCACAUAAAAAAGAGGAAUUAGGGCCAGCUCCACUGGUGCUCUGCUUUGGCGGCCUGGGUUUGGUUCCUAGGGACAGACCUACACUGCUCUGUUAGGAGCCAUGCUGUGCUGGUGGCCCACAUACUAAAAAAUAGAAGAAGAUUGGCAUGGAUGUUAGCACAGGGCAAAUCUUCCUCAGAAAAAAAAAAGAAAAGAAAAAUAAAGGAGUUUUGAAAUAGGAAUGCAAUUCUAAUUUUUCUAACUCCUGUAUUAACGCCAAAAUCACAUUAUAUAUCAUUAAAAAAAAGUUUUGUUAAUCUAUUACUGACAACUGGGUUAGAACCUCUUUCACUUUUGUGUAAAGCAAAUGUAAUAAACAGAAGCCACCUGGGUUGCAUAAGAUUUUGUUACCCAGUCAUUUAAGCCAUUCACUUUAUCACUGACAUCUUAUUUUAGGGUCCUGUUGUCAGAUGCUUCAAGGAGGUUUUGCAUCUUGGGGCAAGAUGAACGAUAAGAUAUGGGAUGGUUGAGAGUUAUCUCCUUUUUCCUUAAUGAGAAAAGAGUUGUGACAAAAGAGGAGGUGGGAAAGCAGAAAGUUUACUGGCAGAUCAGCCACAAGUGAGUCCCUGUGGAAGUGCAAGAUCAGGAAAUGGAUUCCCUUGAAACUGUCUGUAUUCUCAGGGAUACGCAUACCCCAGUUUGAAAACUAAAGGAUACUAAGAGAUAGCUCUUAGAAUCACCACUGUCAUGUCCUAUGUCAACUUAAACAAACAGAUUACCUUAGUUUCAGUUUCUCACUCAGGAAGUAGGUAUAAGAAUGUGGAACUAAGCUGCAAAUCCCAAAUUGUUGGUGCUCGCAGUGUCAAUAUACGUGCCUGAGAGACAUGUAUUUGAUGCCUUGGGUCAUCUUUAACCUUUUCUUCACGUAUUUUCAGAUAAAUACUCAAUUAUCCUGGAUACUUCCUAAAUUCAGUAGAAAACUUGUCCUGGUAGCAAUAGUCACAGCCAAGUUCUCGAGUUUCGAAAGAUGAACCUCUAUGCUGCUUUGGGACUAUUUGGCCGCAAUCCCAGAAUGGUGUUUCUGUGUACACAGCACUGGGGAAGUGAAGUUAGAAUCACAGGUAUUGAGCCUGUUUCUUCUCUGCCUUCACAUCCUCCUGUAGCAUUUUCUGUGUCUGGACUAAGUUGCUUUCCUUCUCUCAUCCAUAACUAUACUGAUCCAUUUCUCUUUUUCUUUUUUUCUUGUGGAAAGAACACUUAACAUGAGAUGUAUCCUCUUAACAAAUGUUUAAAUGUACAAUACUUUAUUGUUGACUGGAGGUACAAUGUUGGACAACAGAUCUCUAGAACUUCUUCUUCUUCUUUUUUUUUUUGAGGAAGAUUAGCCCUGAGCUAACAUCUGCCACCAAUCCUCCUCUUUUCUGCUGAGGAAGGCUGGCCCUGAGCUAACAUCCGUGCCCAUCUUCCUCUGCUUUAUAUGUGGGAUGCCUAGCACAGCAUGGCUUGCCACUUGGUGCCAUGUCUGCACCUGGGAUCUGAACCAGUGAACCCAGGGCUGCCAAAGCAGAACGUGCGCACUUAACCGCUGCGCCACCAGGCCAGCCCCCUAUUCAUCUUCUUUGACUAAAACUAUCCCUAUUGAUUAAUAACUCCCCAUUUCCCCCUCCCCCAACCCCUGACAACCACCAUUUCAUUCUUUAAUUCUAUGAAUUUGACUAUAUUAGAUAUCUCAAAUAAGUGGAAUCAUGCAAUAUUUGUCCUUCUGUAACUGGCUUAUUUCACUUAGCAUAAUAUCCUCAAAGUUCAUUCAUAUAGUCGAAUAUUGCAGAAUUUCAUAUUUUAAAGGAUGAAUAAUAUUACAUUGUAUGUAUAUACUACAUUUUCUUUAUCCAGUUGAUGAACUAUAGGCUGUAUCUACAUCUUGGCUAUUGUAAUGGUGUUGUAAUGAACGUGGGAAUGCUGUCUCUACCAGAUCCUGAUUUCAUUUCUUUUGGGAAAAUCUCUACAAGUGGAAUUGCUAGAAUACAGUAGUUCUAUUUUUAAUUUUUUGAGGACCCUCCAUACUGUUUUCCAUAGCAGUUGCACCAUGUCAUUCCUGCCAACAGGGUGCGAGGGUUCCAUUUCUCCACACCUCACCAUCACUUGUGGGGUUUUUUGGGUAAUAGCCCUCCUAACAGGUAUGAGGUGACAUCUUGUUGUGGUUUUGAUUUGCAUUCCCCUGAUGGUUAGUGAUAUUGAGUAUCUUUUCAUACACCUGUGUACCAUUUAUAUGUCUUCCUUGGAGAAAUAUUUAUUCAAUUCUUUAGCCUAUUUUCUUCUCUUUUUGCUGAGGAAGAUUUGCCCUGAGCUAACAACAUCUGUUGCCAAUCUUCCUCUAUUUUGUGUCUGAGCUGCUGCCACAGCAUGACCACUGACAGAUGAGUGGUACAGGUUUCCACCUGGGAACUGAACCUGGGCCACCAAAGUAGGAUAUGCCAAACUUAACCAGUAGGCCACUGGGGUUGGCAUUUUAGCCCACUUUUUAAUGGGGCUAUUAGAUUUUUUGUUUUUUGCUGUUGAGUUGUAGGAGUUGCCUUAUAUAUUUUGAGAAUUAACCCCUUAUCAGAUAUACGCUUUGCAAAUAUUUUCUCUCGUUCCAUGGGUUGCCUUUUCAUUCUGUUGUUUCCUUUACCGUGCUUUUUCAUUUGAUGUAGUCACACUUGUCUGUUUUUGCUAUUGUUGCCUGUGCUUUCGGUGUCACAUCCAUGAAAUCAUUGCCAAGACCAAUAUCAUCAGGCUUUCUUCCUGUGUUUUCUUCUAGCGGUUUUACACUUUCAGAUCUUACAUUUGAGUCUUUAGUAUAUUUUGAUUGUUUUUAAUGUAUGAUGUAAGAUAAGGGUCCAAUUUUAUUCUUUUACAUGUGGAUAUCCAGUUUUCCCAUCACCAGUUAUUGAAGUGAUUAUUCUUUCUCCAUUGUGUAUUCUUGGCAUCCUUGUGGAAGACCAGUUGACCGUAGAUGUGUGGGUUUAUUUCUGGGUUCUCCACUCUGUUUCAUCGGUCUGUAUGUUUUUAUGCCAGUACUAUACUCGUUUGAUUACUGUAGCUCUGUAAUAUAUUUUGAAAUCAGGAAGGGUGAUGCCCCUGGCUUUGUUCUUUUUCAAGAUUGAUUGACUAUUUGGAGUCCUUUGUGCUGCCAUAAGAAUUUUAGAAUAUUUUUUUCUAUUUCUGUAAAAGAUGCCAUUGGGAUUUUGAUAGGGAUUACAUUGAAUCUGUAGAUUUCUUUGGUGUGGACAUUUUAACAGUGUUAAGACUUCUACUCAAUGAAAACAGAAAGUCUUUCUCUUUGUGACUUCUUUAAUUUGUUUAACCAGUGUUUUAUAGUUUUUAUUGUACAAGUGUUUUAUCUCCUUAGUUAAAUUUAUUCCUAAGUAUUUUAUUCUUUUGUGUGUGUGUGUGUGUGAAAAAGACUGGCCCUGAGCUGACAUCUGUGGUCAGUCUUCCUCUUUUUGCUUGAGGGAUAGUGGCCCUGAGCUAACAUCUGUGCCAGUCCUCCUCUAUUUUGUAUGUGUGAUGCCACCACAGCAUGGGUUUGGUGGGUGGUGUGUGGGUCUGGGCCUGGGAUCCAAACCUAUGAACCCUGGGCCACCGAAGAGGAGCGUGAGCUUAACCCCUACACCACUGGGCCAGCCCCAUUUUAUUCUUUUUUGUACUGUUGUAAAUGGGAUUGUUCUCCAAAUUUCCUUUUUGGAUAGUUCAUUGCUAGUUUAUAGAGGCACAACUGAUUUUUGUUGGCUGAUUUUUUUAUCCUGCAAUUUUACUGAAUUCAUUUAUCAGUUCUAAUAGUUUUUUUAUGGAGUCUUAAGUUUUCUCUGUGUAAGUCAUGUCAUCACAUCUGUAAACAGGAACAAUUUUACCUUUUUUUUUUUUUCUGGUUUGAAUGCCUUUCUUUUCUUUUUCUUGCCUGAGUCCUCUGACUGGGACUUCCAGUACUAUGUUGAAUAGAAGUGGAGAGAAUGGGCAUCCUUGCCUUGUUCCUGAUCUUAAAGGAAAAGCUUCCAAUUAUUCACCAUUGAGAAUGGUGUUAGCUGUGGGCUCACAUGUGGUCUUUAUUAUGUUCAGGUACAUUCCUUCUAUACCUUGUUUGUUGAGAGUUUUUAUCCUGAAAACUCUCAAAUGCUUUUUCUACACCUAUUAAGAUGAUCAUGUGAUUUUUUUUUUUGAAGAUUGACGCCUGAGCUAACAUCUGUUGCCAAUAUUCUUCUUUUGUAUUUUUUCUUUUUUGUCUCCCCAAAGCGCCCCCAGUACAUGGUUGUAUAUUCUGGUCAUAGGUCCUUCUGGCUAUGCUGUGUGGGACACUGCCUCAGCAUGGCCUGACGAGCAGUACCAUGUCUGCGCCCAGGAUCCAAACUGGCGAAACUGUGGGCCACCGAAGAGGAGUGUGCAAACUUAACCACUUGGCCAUGGGGCCGGCCCCAUGAUCAUGUGAUUUUUAUCAUUUAUUCUAUUAAUAUGGUGUAUUAAAUUAAUUGAACAGUCGUUGAGAGUUAUUGAUGAUGAUGUAUAUCCUUGUACCCCUGGGAUAAAUCCUGCUUGGUCAUAGUAUAUUAUGCUUUUAAUAUGCUGUAGGAUUCAAUUUGCUAGCAUUUUGUUGAGGAUUUUUGCAUAUAUUUUCAUCAAGGAUAUUGGCCUAUAGUUUUAUUUUGGUGUCUUUGUGUGGCUUUGGUAUCAGGCCUUAUAAAAUGGCCUUAUAAAAUGAGUUUGGGAGUGUUCUGUCCUCUUCAGUUUUUUGGAAGGGUAUGCAAGGGAUUGGUGUUAAUUCUUUAUGGCUUACCAAGCAGUGCCAUGUCUGCACCUAGGAUCUGAACUGGUGAACCCCGGGCCGCUGAAGUGGAACGUGUGCACCUAACCACUGCGCCACCAGGCCAGCCCCAUCUUUUUAUUGACAAUAGAAAAUAGAAGACAAUGUGUAGGGCUGUUACCGAACUACAGUGGGUCCGCUUCUUAUGAGUUGAAAUCAAAGCCUUCACCAGAAGUACUGGUCACACAAAGUAAUAUUUAUUUGCAGCAAAUAGAAACCAUUGGGAAUCAUUUCCAAAGCCAAGCAAGGGAAAGCAGGGGCCAUUUAGGUCAGAUGAGGAAUGAAUAUUCAAAAGAGGGAGGUGGAUAUUCGCUUGUGCAGGGUCAGUUGGAAAACAUGCUUCCACAUACUUCACAUGUUAUGGUAAUAAGGCCUAAGCUCCUCCUGGGGCAGAGAUCUUAACAUUGAAAUGAAGCAAAGGUCAUCUCUUGAGCAUUUCUCAGCCUGUCUGGGCAGGCAUAGCUCUUGUGGUGGAGUUUGACCUGUUCAGAGAGGUUGGUGAUUGCAUCUCUUAACAUAACUAAAAAAACAAUUUGGAGAAACGGUUAAGUGCUUCUGAAACCUCCUUUGAGUUGCUUGGGGCAAUUCGUUGGUGAAAGGACCUGUUGCAUAAUUUGUGAGGCCCAGUGCAAAAUGAAAAUGUGAACCUCUAGUUCAAAAUUUAUUAACAACAUGGAGACAAUGACAGGAGAGCAUUACACCAAGUGGAAGUCUCUUCUGAUGGCAGGACCCUGUGCAACUGCCCAAGUCGCAUGCCCAGGAAGUCAGCUGGGACAAUGUGUUGUAGGGUAAUAGUAAAAAUUUAUGUGGGCAACUCACACUUUAGUCUCUGGGUCCUGUUAAACUCUUUGAAACAUAGAGAUUGUCCUCCCCAGAAUCAUCAGUAUCAUUAAUUUCUUAGGAGCCUUCUGCCUUUGCAAAUCCCCGUGUUUUGGAUCUGUCUGAGUUUUAAAAUCUCAGCCAAGCCAUAUGGAUACCAUCCUAUCAGAAGAGACAAAACUGAGCCUAAAACCAAGCAGAAAGAGUGAGCGCAAUGAAGAGGACUCUCCAUGCAUAACUGGAGAUUUCAGCCACCCACAUUUAUUCCAAGUGCAGUGUCGCAUUUUCUGGAAAGAACUGACUUCUUCCCCUUGUUCUGUUUCUAGAGCCCAGGACCAUGGGUGUGUUUCAUGGCAGAGAAAAGUGAAGAGGAGAAUUGUUUGUGUGUUUGAAGGAGAAACAGAUCAGCAGCCUUUUGUUUUGGCUCCUAAAGUAUGUAGGUGCCUAUUUCCAUUAUCUCUACAAAUAUACCCUUGCUGGUCCUCCUAUUCUGUAGGGGUGUUUCCUUGUCUAUUACAUGCUCCUUCCCUAUCUGUGACAUUUGAGUUUUGAUAAAAAUCCUCUUCUCUCUGGAAGUGUUGUGACUGGUAGUUUUUUCCCACAAUGUCAUUGCAGCAAAUGUUUCUGGUGGGCAUAGUCUCUACGUUUGGUGGAGAGGUCUUCCUCACUCUGGUAUCCGAUCAUCUGAUGUCACCAGAAGACUAACCAUUUGGCCCUACUACAUAUAAAACCAUUGCGGUGAAAAAGGACAGCAUGGGCAUCCUAGAGACGGAAGUUGGACCUCGUGACUGAGGCUUAUGCCCAAGAUUCUAGGGUGAAACAUUGCUUGUUCCAAUGAGACUAUCUAAAGACUAUUUGAUACAAGUGUUGCUGAGAUGAUACAGACUUUUUAGAUAAGUGAGAAAUGAAUGUCUAGAAUAUUUUAAAAGCUACAGAAAGUAGACAGAAACAUUUUCAUUAGGGAUAGUUUAUAAAGGAAGAGAACGGUUUUCUUUAAGGAGCAAGGAAACUGAUAUUUAUUGAGCACUUGCUGUUUACCAGGCACUGUGUAUGUGUGUAUGUGCGUGUAUGUGUAUGUGUCUGCUCACAACGGCUCCGUGGGGUAGUGAUUAUUAGCUCCGUUUUAAUAAUGAAGACAUUGUGGCUCAGAGGGAGUAAGGUGCAAAGCCAGAAUUGCGAGACAAGAUUGUUGGCCUCCCGUGUCCAUGUGUCCACUCACUUUUCCUUUUGAAGGUCUCAGGUAAGGGGUAGCCUCACUGGGAUUUAGGCAGCCUGCCCCAGGGUCCUUGUUCUGAACUACUGUGCUCCACUGCCUUUUAAGAGCAAAUUUAUCUUUUUACCAGGGAGUGAUGACCUUCAGAGGAAUCUUUCUAUCUAGAUAAGCAAAUUCAUAGAAUCCUGAUAGUAAACUGGAAUGUUAAUUGUUCUAAUAUUAUAUUGUUUUGACUUUCUUUAUCAGUAAUACUGAAUAUGGACUGAAGGUCAGAUGACUCCUGUCCCAAGUAAGGGACUCUGAGCACCAGGGAAAAUGAUUCUUUUUAAAGUUUUACUUUAAGUAUUUCAUAAUUUACUUCAUUUUCCCCCAGUUGUACUGGAGGUAUCUUUGGCUUAAAGAUCCCAAGGAUUGAUUGGU
Molecule: long non-coding RNA, 9294 nt
Organism: Equus caballus (horse)
Lineage: Eukaryota; Metazoa; Chordata; Mammalia; Perissodactyla; Equidae
Source: Ensembl